AGAGUUUGAUCCUGGCUCAGGAUGAACGCUGGCGGCGUGCCUAAUACAUGCAAGUCGAACGAAUCUUCUUCGGAGGAUGAGUGGCGAACGGGUGAGUAAUACAUAGGUAACCUGCCCCUGUGCGGGGGAUAACAGGAGGAAACUCCUGCUAAUACCGCAUAGCCAUGAGCACCGCAUGGAGCUCAUGCCAAAUAUCCUUUACGGGAUAGCGCAGGGAUGGACCUAUGGCGCAUUAGCUAGUUGGCGGGGCAACGGCCCACCAAGGCAACGAUGCGUAGCCGGCCUGAGAGGGCGGACGGCCACAUUGGGACUGAGACACGGCCCAGACUCCUACGGGAGGCAGCAGUAGGGAAUUUUCGGCAAUGGGGGAAACCCUGACCGAGCAACGCCGCGUGAGCGAAGAAGGCCUUCGGGUCGUAAAGCUCUGUUGUAAAGGAAGAGCGUCGGACACAGGAAAUGGUGUGCGAGUGACGGUACCUUACAAGAAAGCUCCGGCUAACUACGUGCCAGCAGCCGCGGUAAUACGUAGGGAGCGAGCGUUGUCCGGAAUGACUGGGUGUAAAGGGAGCGUAGGCGGGAUGGCAAGUCAGAUGUGAAACCUGAGGGCUCAACCUUCAGACUGCAUUUGAAACUGCUGUUCUUGAGUGAAGUAGAGGUAAGCGGAAUUCCUGGUGUAGCGGUGAAAUGCGUAGAGAUCAGGAGGAACAUCGGUGGCGAAGGCGGCUUACUGGGCUUUUACUGACGCUGAGGCUCGAAAGCGUGGGGAGCAAACAGGAUUAGAUACCCUGGUAGUCCACGCUGUAAACGAUGAUUACUAGGUGUGGGGGGAUUGACCCCUUCCGUGCCGCAGUUAACACAAUAAGUAAUCCACCUGGGGAGUACGACCGCAAGGUUGAAACUCAAAGGAAUUGACGGGGGCCCGCACAAGCAGUGAAGUAUGUGGUUUAAUUCGAAGCAACGCGAAGAACCUUACCAGGUCUUGACAUCGAGUGACGUAUCCAGAGAUGGACAUUUCCUUCGGGACACAAAGACAGGUGGUGCAUGGUUGUCGUCAGCUCGUGUCGUGAGAUGUUGGGUUAAGUCCCGCAACGAGCGCAACCCUUAUCAUUAGUUGCUACGCAAGAGCACUCUAAUGAGACUGCCGUUGACAAAACGGAGGAAGGUGGGGAUGACGUCAAAUCAUCAUGCCCCUUAUGACCUGGGCUACACACGUACUACAAUGGCGAUCGAACAGAGGGAAGCAAGACAGCGAUGUGGAGCCAAUCCCAAAAAAUCGCCCCAGUUCAGAUUGCAGGCUGCAACUCGCCUGCAUGAAGUCGGAAUUGCUAGUAAUCGCAGAUCAGCAUGCUGCGGUGAAUACGUUCCCGGGCCUUGUACACACCGCCCGUCACACCAUGGGAGUCGGUAACACCCAAAGCCGGUCGUCUAACCUUCGGGAGGACGCCGUCUAAGGUGGGAUUGAUGACUGGGGUGAAGUCGUAACAAGGUA
Molecule: ribosomal RNA, 1489 nt
Filed under: metagenome
Description: bacterial SSU rRNA
Rfam family: Bacterial small subunit ribosomal RNA
Source: RNAcentral